GUGAAACUGCGAAUGGCUCAUUAAAUCAGUUAUCGUUUAUUUGAUAGUUCCUUUACUACAUGGUAUAACUGUGGUAAUUCUAGAGCUAAUACAUGCUUAAAAUCUCGACCCUUUGGAAGAGAUGUAUUUAUUAGAUAAAAAAUCAAUGUCUUCGGACUCUUUGAUGAUUCAUAAUAACUUUUCGAAUCGCAUGGCCUUGUGCUGGCGAUGGUUCAUUCAAAUUUCUGCCCUAUCAACUUUCGAUGGUAGGAUAGUGGCCUACCAUGGUUUCAACGGGUAACGGGGAAUAAGGGUUCGAUUCCGGAGAGGGAGCCUGAGAAACGGCUACCACAUCCAAGGAAGGCAGCAGGCGCGCAAAUUACCCAAUCCUAAUUCAGGGAGGUAGUGACAAUAAAUAACGAUACAGGGCCCAUUCGGGUCUUGUAAUUGGAAUGAGUACAAUGUAAAUACCUUAACGAGGAACAAUUGGAGGGCAAGUCUGGUGCCAGCAGCCGCGGUAAUUCCAGCUCCAAUAGCGUAUAUUAAAGUUGUUGCAGUUAAAAAGCUCGUAGUUGAACUUUGGGCCCGGUUGGCCGGUCCGAUUUUUUCGUGUACUGGAUUUCCAACGGGGCCUUUCCUUCUGGCUAACCUUGAGUCCUUGUGGCUCUUGGCGAACCAGGACUUUUACUUUGAAAAAAUUAGAGUGUUCAAAGCAGGCGUAUUGCUCGAAUAUAUUAGCAUGGAAUAAUAGAAUAGGACGUUUGGUUCUAUUUUGUUGGUUUCUAGGACCAUCGUAAUGAUUAAUAGGGACGGUCGGGGGCAUCAGUAUUCAAUUGUCAGAGGUGAAAUUCUUGGAUUUAUUGAAGACUAACUACUGCGAAAGCAUUUGCCAAGGACGUUUUCAUUAAUCAAGAACGAAAGUUAGGGGAUCGAAGAUGAUCAGAUACCGUCGUAGUCUUAACCAUAAACUAUGCCGACUAGGGAUCGGGUGGUGUUUUUUUAAUGACCCACUCGGCACCUUACGAGAAAUCAAAGUCUUUGGGUCUGGGGG
This 1030-nucleotide ribosomal RNA is filed under the name Saccharomyces cerevisiae (brewer's yeast). RNAcentral's name for it is "SSU rRNA". It matches the Rfam family "Eukaryotic small subunit ribosomal RNA", at positions 81 to 1120 of the family's 1831-position model. Lineage: Eukaryota; Fungi; Ascomycota; Saccharomycetes; Saccharomycetales; Saccharomycetaceae. The record is from RNAcentral.